Molecule: ribosomal RNA, 258 nt
Filed under: Membranobalanus brachialis
Lineage: Eukaryota; Metazoa; Arthropoda; Thecostraca; Balanomorpha; Balanidae
Description: partial small subunit ribosomal RNA
Source: RNAcentral
UUUAGAGGAACCUGCCCUAUAAACGAUGAACCACGAAUAACAUUACUUUUAUUAGAUUAUCAGUUUGUAUACCGCUGUUGUCAGUUGGUUUCUUUAGAAAUCCUUCUUAAAUGAUAAUUUCAUGGACUUCAAGUAAAGGUGCAGCUCAUAUAAAAGAUAGAGGUGGGUUACAUUUAAAAGAAUAAUAACGGAUUAGAUUUUUGAAACAAUCUUUGAAGGUGGAUUUAAUUGUAAAGUUUAAUAAAACUUGAUGUGAGC